RNAcentral lists this ribosomal RNA (2031 nucleotides) under Triticum aestivum (bread wheat). Its description in RNAcentral is "partial small subunit ribosomal RNA". The record is from RNAcentral. Lineage: Eukaryota; Viridiplantae; Streptophyta; Magnoliopsida; Poales; Poaceae.
AUGCCGGCCCUACUCCUGCUCAUACUCCUGCUGCUGAGCCGUGGCGGCGAGGUGGCCUGGUCGCAGCUGGACGAUGGCCAGUUCGCCUACCAAGGCUUCGCCGGCGCCAACCUUACCCUGGACGGCCUCGCCGCCGUCAUGCCCGGCGGCCUGCUCGCGCUCACCAACUUCACGCAGCAGACUAAGGCCCACGCCUUCCACCCCGCCCCGCUCCGCUUCCUCGGCGGCUCGGCCAACGCCACGGCGGUGCGCUCCUUCUCCACGUCCUUCGUCUUCGCCAUCGUGUCGGGCUACGACGGCCUCAGCGACCACGGGCUCGCCUUCGUCGUCGCCCCGACCACCAACUUCACCACCGCCAACUCCGGCCAGUACCUGGGCCUCCUCAACACCACCAACGGCACCGCCAGCGCCCCCAUCUUGGCCGUCGAGCUCGACACCAUCCUCAGCCCCGAGUUCCGCGACAUCAACAGCAAUCACGUCGGCAUCGACGUCAACAGCCUCGUGUCGCGGCAGGCCCAGCCGGCUGGCUACUACGACGACGACGGCGGCGGCGCCCUUCGGGACCUCAGGCUUAACAGCCGACAGCCCAUGCAGUUGUGGGUGGACUACGACGGCCAGUCCAAGCGGCUCGAGGUGACACUAGCCCCCGUGCACGUGCCCAAGCCCAGCAAGCCUCUGCUCUCCGAGGCCAUCGACCUCUCCACGCUCAUGGCGGACGCGAUGUACGUCGGCUUCUCUGCGUCGUCGGGAGUCAUCUCGGGGCAUCACUACCUGCUCGGAUGGAGCUUCAGCUUGGACGGGCCUGCCCCGCCUCUUGACUUGUCCAAGCUUCCUGCCCUGCCACGCCUGGGACCCAAGCCUCGGUCCAAGGUCCUGGACAUCGUGUUGCCGCUGGCCAGCGCGUUGCUCGUGGCAGCAGCGCUGGCUGCGGUCUUCUUCUUUCUGUGGCGUCGGCGCCGGUUCGCCGAGGUGCGCGAAGGCUGGGAAGACGAGUUCGGCCCCCACCGAUAUGCAUACAAGGAUCUGCAUCGUGCCACUGAUGGGUUUAAGGAAAAAAACUUGCUCGGCGUCGGAGGGUUCGGGAGAGUGUACAAAGGCCUGCUUUCCGAAUCCAAUUUGGAGAUCGCCGUGAAGAGGGUGUCGCGUGAAUCAAGGCAAGGACUGCGUGAGUUCGUUGCCGAGGUGGCGAGCAUUGGCCGUCUCCGGCACCGGAAUCUCGUGCAGUUAUUGGGCUACUGCCGGCGCAAGGACGAGCUUAUCUUGGUGUAUGACUACAUGUCAAAUGGCAGCCUUGACAAGUACUUGCACGAUCCAAGCAUGCCCGUCAUAUCUUGGCCCGAAAGGUUCUCAAUCAUCAAAGGGGUCGCGUCAGGCGUGCUGUAUCUCCACGAGGAUUGGGAAAAGGUUGUCAUCCACAGAGAUAUCAAGGCAAGCAAUGUGCUCUUGGAUGAACAGAUGAAUGGAUGCCUUGGCGACUUCGGCCUGGCAAGGUUAUACGAUCAUGGAACCGUCGCUCAAACAACCCAUGUUGUCGGCACCAUGGGAUACCUUGCACCAGAGCUUGUGCGCACCGGGAAGGCAACACCCUUAACCGAUGUGUUUGCAUUCGGUGUCUUUCUCCUAGAGGUUGCAUGUGGACGACGACCGAUCGAGCGUGGCGAACGAAACACCCCUGUAGUGAUGAUUGAUUGGGUGCUUGAGCACCACCGCAAUGGAUCAUUACUCAAGGCGGUGGAUCCACGACUAACGGGAAAUUUUGACACAGAGGAGGUUACCCUCGUGCUGCAACUAGGUUUGUUGUGCUCGCACCCAUUGCCUGAUGCAAGGCCUAGCAUGCGAAAGGUUACACAAUACCUAGAUCGUGGGCAGUUGGUUCCUGAUCUGUCGCCGACUUACAUGAGCUACAGCAUGUUGGCGCUGAUGCAGAAUGACGGCUUCGAUUCGUACAUUAUGUCAUACCCUCCAUCAGCGACUAGUACUGCUGCGGUGUCUUAUGGGUCUUCGAUGACAUUUCUCACCGAGGGCAGAUGA